RNAcentral lists this ribosomal RNA (429 nucleotides) under Pseudomonadota bacterium. Its description in RNAcentral is "Proteobacteria bacterium partial 16S ribosomal RNA". It matches the Rfam family "Bacterial small subunit ribosomal RNA", at positions 355 to 776 of the family's 1533-position model. The record is from RNAcentral. Lineage: Bacteria; Pseudomonadati; Pseudomonadota.
UGGGGAAUAUUGGACAAUGGGCGAAAGCCUGAUCCAGCCAUGCCGCGUGUGUGAAGAAGGUCUUCGGAUUGUAAAGCACUUUUAGUUGGGAGGAAGGGCAGUAAGCGAAUACCUUGCUGUUUUGACGUUACCGACAGAAUAAGCACCGGCUAACUCUGUGCCAGCAGCCGCGGUAAUACAGAGGGUGCAAGCGUUAAUCGGAAUUACUGGGCGUAAAGCGCGCGUAGGUGGUUCGUUAAGUUGAAUGUGAAAGCCCCGGGCUCAACCUGGGAACUGCAUCCAAAACUGGCGAGCUAGAGUAGGGCAGAGGGUGGUGGAAUUUCCUGUGUAGCGGUGAAAUGCGUAGAUAUAGGAAGGAACACCAGUGGCGAAGGCGACCACCUGGGCUCAUACUGACACUGAGGUGCGAAAGAGUGGGGAGCAAACAGG